This 197-nucleotide ribosomal RNA is filed under the name uncultured bacterium. Its description in RNAcentral is "partial 16S ribosomal RNA". It matches the Rfam family "Bacterial small subunit ribosomal RNA", at positions 328 to 539 of the family's 1533-position model. The record is from RNAcentral.
ACGCUCGACACCUACGGGGGGCAGCAGUGGGGAAUAUUGCACAAUGGGGGGAACCCUGAUGCAGCGACGCCGCGUGAGUGAAGAAGUACUUCGGUAUGUAAAGCUCUAUCAGCAGGGAAGAAAAUGACGGUACCUGACUAAGAAGCCCCGGCUAACUACGUGCCACAGCCGCGGUAAUCUGAGCGGGCUGGCAAGGC